Acanthosepion pharaonis is the source of this 113-nucleotide non-coding RNA. The record is from the annotation of a GenBank genome assembly. NCBI's taxonomy places the organism in Eukaryota, Metazoa, Mollusca, Cephalopoda, Sepiida, Sepiidae.
AUACGGUCAUAUCACGUUGAAACCUCGGUUCUCGUACGACCACCGAAGUUAAGCAACGUCGAGCCUGUUCAGUACCUAGAUGGGUGUCCGUUUGGAUAUACCAGCCGCUGUAA